Molecule: transfer RNA, 71 nt
Filed under: Phalansterium sp. PJK-2012
Lineage: Eukaryota; Evosea; Variosea
Description: tRNA-Glu
Rfam family: tRNA
About the family: Transfer RNA (tRNA) molecules are approximately 80 nucleotides in length.
Source: RNAcentral
UAUCUCUUCGUCUAGUGGUAGGACACUGGACUUUCUAUCUAGAAACGCGGGUUCGAUUCCCGCAGAGAUCA